GCUGCCUGGGAAUCACGCUCCUUCCUGCUCUUUCCAAAAAGCCAGGUGCCGCCGGCCAGCAUCCCGCUCCCUUUGACCCGCAGUCUGUGCGGGAAGCAGGAGGUGGCCUUAGAAAGGCGGAGACCCAAGGAGCAGAGUGAGUCGGCCUCCAGCUCCACCUGAAAGCGCCAUCUUGUCGCCACUUCCCUCAGGAGCAGCAUGCCCAGCCUCUUGCAUAGGAAGAAGUGGUAAGCUAAGGAGAGAAAUGCAGGGUUCCUAGUACACCGAUUUUGCAACUUUUUCAUCUUGGCCCUGCUUUAAAAUGAUGCAUCUACUGUCUUCAUGCCUCAGCACAGCAGAGAAAACCAUGCUGUGUUCCAGUUUACUUUGAAUGUUUCAGUGAAAAUGAUGAAGCUGAAAAAAUGAUGGAGGCCCGUUUUACAUUGCAUUUCUCAGAGUCAUCGCCUCUGCUGCAGAUGGAACAGCAGCCAUGGAGAAUAAGGGUCACCUGAAUGUGGAAAAGUUGAGUUGGAGCAAAACUGGCAUGGCCGUACUGGAUGGACCUCAGCAUGACCAGGACACAUUUCAGCUCAAAUCCCCUGUGCCAAGAACACAUUCUGCCAAGGACCACCACCUCUUCCCACAACUAGAGCUGGCUUACCAGAGCACCGAUGGACUUGGAUACCUGAGAUAUCUGCUUGGGAUCCCACACUUUCAAGGUCUCUCCUCUGGCCUUCUUCUGGUUCUGCGACUCCUUACAGUGCUGGGAGUUGGUGAUGCCAACAGGACAUA
This 771-nucleotide long non-coding RNA is filed under the name Pan troglodytes (chimpanzee). Its description in RNAcentral is "lincRNA". The record is from RNAcentral. Lineage: Eukaryota; Metazoa; Chordata; Mammalia; Primates; Hominidae.